Symphalangus syndactylus (siamang) is the source of this 915-nucleotide long non-coding RNA. RefSeq lists it as uncharacterized. NCBI's taxonomy places the organism in Eukaryota, Metazoa, Chordata, Mammalia, Primates, Hylobatidae. The record is from RefSeq and is a predicted model, not a curated record.
GGGCUCAUAGAGCUGUCUACAGCCACACAAUUUCAAGCAAAUCCCCAAGGCAACACCUGAGAGCAGAAGUAGGCACCAGUGUGAAAUAGCUUGAUUGAAUACUGAUAAGUAGAGCUACAGUCUAAAUGCAUAUACAUGUUUGGAACCGAAGUCAGCCAUCUUCCCUAGGACAAAUCUUUACUCUUCUAAAGAAGGACAAGAAUAAGGUCUACUUUCAGCUAACCAUUUAUAAGGAUUUGAAUGACUUUCAUCGUAAUGAAGCCUUCUGCAGAGUAAUUGAUUUUGAUCAUGAGUACCUGUUGGAGUCCCACCAACUUUUCCUUCUAGAUUAUCUUACAGCAGUGGACCAGACAGUGGUGCUCCAGAGAGGCAAGUAUGUCUUUAAGGAAGCUUCCUGCUUGCCUGGGAAAGCUGCAGAGCAUGUGUCAUUCAACUGUCCUGUCUACAUCCAUGUUCAAAAACAGUCUUUUGGCUUUAAGGAUAAUCAACCCUUGGUACUCUUUCUUUAAAUAAAGAAAUGCUAUCAAACAAAAAGUGGUUCAAUACUGGCAUCCUGUGGCUGGAGAGAUUUAUCGAAUCUCUGAAAAUCUCAGCUCCUUGGAUUCUGAACAUUCCCUGGCUGUCAGUUCUCAGCAGCCUUUCACCAUUUUCUGAGUGCUAUUUGGUUACCUUUCGUUUUUCAUGGAAACAGCCUAGGUAAAACGUAUUUUGAUAUAGACUAUCAUUUUCACAGGGCUAAUCUACUCAUGCAUGAUCAGGGUAAAAAUAAAUGAUAAUAUAAAGGCUAUGGAAUUUUACCUAAUGAAAGGACAUGAUAUUAAAUCAUUGAACAAACUGCUCCAAGCAAAGGCUCUUGGUCUCUAAGUUCACACUGAGUUUCUCUCUAACAGAAAGAUCACAGAGUAGUUGGGAGAA